GAAUGCAGCGCGCAUGAAAAGCCGCCGCACGCGGCUCGACUCACGCUCGCAGUAAUCUCACGGGGUUUCCCGAUCUAUUUUAAACGGCGAGGACCAGCUCGAUCUGUUUAACAACAAUAUCGAGCAACCUGCAGCUGGCGGCACUUCCGAGGUCGGUGCACUUCAGUGACCGCAUCCUCACGUGAAAAAACGGAACAAGAAAGGAAAAAAAUGUUGAAUUUCACGCCAUUGUGUGGAAGGAAAUAUGUAUGUGCGUUGCUUCCAGAGUCGGACUUUUAACUACACAAAUUGUAAUUUUACCGUAUCCAAGAAAGUAGACGCCUUGAAACAAUCCUACAAAGUUUUCUAUGCCUCUGGAUUUGUGCAAAUGAUCGGCAAGGAUAAGCCGAUAACUAUCCGUUUUAUAAUCCAUAUUUUACACCUAGGUCUACCCGUGGGAUAUGAUCCUCUGGUAGUUCGAUCGAUGUCGAAUAUUCACUGGAAUUGUAAACCCAGCGUUUCAGUUCAACGAAUUAGGCAUAUUGUGUCUACGGUAAACAUACGUGUAUAAAAUAUAUAUACAAACUAUGUUUCAUUUUCAUCCGAUUUGUACAAACAACCGUCCCGAUUUCACUAUCCUCGAUACAUACUGGAAAUGAGAUAGUAUAUUUUAACGAGUCCUGAACUUUGUACCGAACGAUCAUUUCGUCGGAUUACAUUGACAAAACUUCAUCACACCUCCUCUACGGAUGUAACGUUGUCUUGUUAGAACCGGAGCCUGUUGAGGAGAUUGGUAUGCAUCAUAAGUAAAUUAUCCGAAUGAAUCGAUCAGCUAUUAAGAAAUAAUGAGCAAGCGUCGAGCAGGUAUACGAGCGGUUUUUUGAAGUUUUCAACCAGUUUUUCGAAGAGUCUGAACCAGUUUUUUGAAGAGUCUGAAGGGCAACUCUAUGGACCAGGAAUCGCUGAUUAGCAUAUUAACGCGAUGGAAAUUGCGACCUGCACCUUUCCCGCCGCACGACAAAUGCACACUCGAGACGCCUCGGUGAAAUGCUUGUACCAGGCAUAAUAUGACAUAUAUCUUGAUGAAAAAAUUUAAGAAGACUGCUGAAAUAUAUAACAAUAAAA
Molecule: long non-coding RNA, 1104 nt
Filed under: Neodiprion pinetum (white pine sawfly)
Lineage: Eukaryota; Metazoa; Arthropoda; Insecta; Hymenoptera; Diprionidae
Description: uncharacterized LOC124221235
Source: RNAcentral